AACGAACGCUGGCGGCAUGCCUAACACAUGCAAGUCGAACGAGACCUUCUGGUCUAGUGGCGCACGGGUGCGUAACGCGUGGGAACCUGCCCUUAGGUUCGGAAUAACUCCCCGAAAGGGGUGCUAAUACCGGAUAAUGUCUUCGGACCAAAGAUUUAUCGCCUUUGGAUGGGCCCGCGUUGGAUUAGCUAGUUGGUAGGGUAAAAGCCUACCAAGGCGACGAUCCAUAGCUGGUCUGAGAGGAUGAUCAGCCACACUGGGACUGAGACACGGCCCAGACUCCUACGGGAGGCAGCAGUGGGGAAUAUUGGACAAUGGGCGAAAGACUGAUCCAGCAAUGCCGCGUGAGUGAUGAAGGACUUAGGGUUGUAAAGCUCUUUUACCCGGGAUGAUAAUGACAGUACCGGGAGAAUAAGCUCCGGCUAACUCCGUG
RNAcentral lists this ribosomal RNA (433 nucleotides) under uncultured bacterium. Its description in RNAcentral is "partial 16S ribosomal RNA". It matches the Rfam family "Bacterial small subunit ribosomal RNA", at positions 29 to 507 of the family's 1533-position model. The record is from RNAcentral.